This 588-nucleotide ribosomal RNA is filed under the name uncultured bacterium. Its description in RNAcentral is "partial 16S ribosomal RNA". It matches the Rfam family "Bacterial small subunit ribosomal RNA", at positions 355 to 1375 of the family's 1533-position model. The record is from RNAcentral.
UGGGGAAUAUUGGACAAUGGGCGCAAGCCUGAUCCAGCCAUGCCGCGUGUGUGAAGAAGGCCUUCGGGUUGUAAAGCACUUUUGUCCGGAAAGAAAUCCUGUCGGCUAAUACCCGGCGGGGAUGACGGUACCGGAAGAAUAAGCACCGGCUAACUUCGUGCCAGCAGCCGCGGUAAUACGAAGGGUGCAAGCGUUACUCGGAAUUACUGGGCGUAAAGCGUGCGUAGGUGGUUUGUUAAGUCUGAUGUGAAAGCCCUGGGCUCAACCUGGGAACUGCAUUGGAUACUGGCUUACUAGAGUGCGGUAGAGGGUGGCGGAAUUCCCGGUGUAGCAGUGAAAAUGCGUAGAUAUCGGGAGGAACAUCCGUGGCGAAGGCGGCCACCUGGACCAGCACUGACACUGAGGCACGAAAGCGUGGGGAGCAAACAGGAUUAGAUAUCCUGGUAGUCCACGCCCUAAACGAUGCGAACUGGAUGUUGGGAGCAACUAGGCUCUCAGUAUCGAAGCUAACGCGUUAAGUUCGCCGCCUGGGAAGUACGGUCGCAAGACUGAAACUCAAAUGAAUUGACGGGGUCAUAGCUGUUUCCU